RNAcentral lists this ribosomal RNA (1820 nucleotides) under Coemansia sp. KFC01-30. Its description in RNAcentral is "SSU rRNA". It matches the Rfam family "Eukaryotic small subunit ribosomal RNA". Lineage: Eukaryota; Fungi; Kickxellomycota; Kickxellomycetes; Kickxellales; Kickxellaceae. The record is from RNAcentral.
GCCAGUAGUCAUAUGCUUGUGUCAAAGAUUAAGCCAUGCAUGUCUAAGUAUAAGCAAGUCUAUACAGCGAAACUGCGAAUGGCUCAUUAUAUCAGUUAUAGUUUACACGAUUAGAGUUUUGCUAUUUGGAUACCCGUAGUAAUUCUAGAGCUAAUACAUGCGUAAGGGCCCGACUUUUCGGAAGGGCUGCAUUUGUUAGAUAUAAGCCGACCCCCAUCCGGGGAUUGAGGUGAAUCAUAAUAACUGUGCGAAUCGUUGGCCUUAUGGCUACGAUGGAUCGUUCAAAUAUCUGCCCUAUCAAUUAGAUGGUACAGUAGUGGUCUACCAUGAUGGUAACGGGUAACGGGGAAUCAGGGUUUGAUUCCGGAGAAGGAGCCUGAGAAACGGCUACUACUUCUAUGGAAGGCAGCAGGCGCGCAAAUUAUCCAAUGCUGAUUCAGCGAGAUAGUGACAACGAAUAGCGAGCCUGGUCUCAUUGAGGCUAGGUAUUGCAAUGAGAACAAUUUAAAAACCUUAACGAGGAACAAUUGGAGGGCAAGUCUUGGUGCCAGCAGCCGCGGUAAUUCCAGCUCCAAUAGUGUAUAUUAAAGUUGCUGCAGUUAAAAAGCUCGUAGUCAGAGAUUGAGUGCUUGGGGGCUGAGGCUGUGCGGUUGCUCCGCAAGGGGCACUACUGCGCAUGCCUUUUUUUGGCCUCCACCUCAUUUGUUGGCGCCGAGCCGCGCGUUUCUUCACUGAGGCGCGCGGGUCCUUGGCGUCACUUUUACCUUGAGAAAAUUAGAGUGUUCAAAGCAGGCAGUCGUCGCUUGAAUAGGUUAGCAUGGAAUAAUAAAAGAAGACCUUGGUCUUGUUUUUGUUGGCUUACGGGGCCGAGGUAAUGAUUAAUAGGAGCAGUUGGGGGCACUUGGAUUUGAUGGUUAGAGGUGAAAUUCUUGGAUCCAUUGAAGACAAACUAGUGCGAAAGCAUUUGCCCAGGAUGUGUCCAUUGAUCAAGAACGAAAGUUAAGGGAUCAAAGACGAUUAGAUACCGUCGUAGUCUUAACCAUAAACGAUGCCGACUGGGGAUGGGCGCCCUUUUUAAGGGGGCGUCUGCACCCAAUGAGAAAUCAAAGUGUUUGGGUUCCGGGGGGAGUAUGGUCGCAAGGCUGAAACUUAAAGGAAUUGACGGAAGGGCACCACCAGAAGUGGAGCCUGCGGCUUAAUUUGACUCAACACGGGGAAACUCACCAGGUCCAGACAUAGUGAGGAUUGACAGAAUGAUAGCUCUUUCUUGAUUCUAUGGUAUUGGUGGUGCAUGGCCGUUCUUAGUUCGUGGAUUCAUUUGUCUGGUUAAUUCCGAUAACGGACGAGACCUUUGUUCUUAAAUAGGACCAUUCAUUAUUGUGAUGGGUGGCGCCUUCUUAGGAGGACUGCCUGUGUUAAGCAGGCGGAAGUUAGAGGCAAUAACAGGUCUGUGAUGCCCUUAGAUGUUCUGGGCCGCACGCGCGCUACACUGACGAGGCCACUGAGUAAUUGGCCGAUGUAAUGUCGGCUGUUCCUAUCCUGUGAAGGACGGGUAAUCUGGGUCAACCCUCGUCGUGCUGGGGAUAGUCCUUUGCAAUUUUCGGACUUGAACGAGGAAUUUCUAGUAAUCGCAAGUCAUCAGCUUGCGAUGAUUACGUCCCUGCCCUUUGUACACACCGCCCGUCGCUACUACCGAUUGAAUGGCUUAGUGAGUCCUUUGGAUUCUGCGGGCACGCCUUUGCGGGCUGUCUGCGGGAGAAGUCUGGCAAACUAUGGACAUUUAGAGGAAGUAAAAGUCGUAACAAGGUCAUCGUAGGUGA